This 66-nucleotide transfer RNA is filed under the name bovine gut metagenome. It matches the Rfam family "tRNA". From Rfam's summary of the family: Transfer RNA (tRNA) molecules are approximately 80 nucleotides in length. Their secondary structure includes four short double-helical elements and three loops (D, anti-codon, and T loops). Further hydrogen bonds mediate the characteristic L-shaped molecular structure. tRNAs have two regions of fundamental functional importance: the anti-codon, which is responsible for specific mRNA codon recognition, and the 3' end, to which the tRNAs corresponding amino acid is attached (by aminoacyl-tRNA synthetases). tRNAs cope with the degeneracy of the genetic code in two manners: having more than one tRNA (with a specific anti-codon) for a particular amino acid; and 'wobble' base-pairing, i.e. permitting non-standard base-pairing at the 3rd anti-codon position. The record is from RNAcentral.
GUCUUAGCUCAAUUGGCAGAGCAGUUGAUUUGUAAUCAUCAGGUUGUUGGUUCGAUUCCGAUAGAC